AUUAUUUUAAGCUAUAUAUUGGUAGUAAUUAAUAAUUUAUGAAAUCAUAAGAUUUUGGCGGUAUUUUAAGCUUGUUAGAGGAAUUUGCUCUAUAAUGGAUACAACGCCUUAAUCUUACUUAAUUUAGUUUAAAAGUCAGUUUGUAUACCACUAUAUUUAAUUAUAUUGAAUAAUAAUAUUUAAGAUUUUUAUAUAAAAAAUAUAUUAAGUCAAGGUGCAAUAAAUAAUUAUGAAUGAAGUGAAUUACAUUAAUUUUAAUUUUGUUAAAAUAUUGAAAAAAAUUUUUUAGGAUUUAAUAGUAAAAUGUUAAUAUUAUGAAUAUUUGAAUAAAGCUCUAAAAU
RNAcentral lists this ribosomal RNA (341 nucleotides) under Ixodes affinis. RNAcentral describes it as "partial small subunit ribosomal RNA". Lineage: Eukaryota; Metazoa; Arthropoda; Arachnida; Ixodida; Ixodidae. The record is from RNAcentral.